Molecule: long non-coding RNA, 439 nt
Organism: Oncorhynchus tshawytscha (Chinook salmon)
Lineage: Eukaryota; Metazoa; Chordata; Actinopteri; Salmoniformes; Salmonidae
Source: Ensembl
UUGUUAUUCUUGUGUUACUUUUUAUUAUUACUUUUUAUUUUAGCCUACUUGGUCAAUAUUUUCUUCUUCUUGAACUGCACUGUUGGUUAAGGGCUUGUAAGUAAGCAUUUCAUGGUAAAGUCUACAGUGUUGGUUAAGGGCUUGUAAGUAAAGCAUUUCACGGUAAAGUCUACAGUGUUGGUUAAGGGCUUGUAAUAAAGCAUUUCAUGGUAAAGUCUACAGUGUUGGUUAAGGGCUUGUAAGUAAGCAUUUCAUGGUAAAGUCUACAGUGUUGGUUAAGGGCUUGUAAGUAAAGCAUUUCAUGGUAAAGUCUACAGUGUUGGUUAAGGGCUUGUAAGUAAAGCAUUUCACGGUAAAGUCUACAGUGUUGGUUAAGGGCUUGUAAUAAAGCAUUUCACGGUAAAGUCUACAGUGUUGGUUAAGGGCUUGUAAGUAAAGC